GACGAACGCUGGCGGCGUGCCUAAUACAAGCAAGUCGAACGCAGUGGGGACGGGUGAGUAACAUGUGGGUAACCUCCCAUCAGAGGGGAUAACACUUGGAAACAGGUGCUAAACCGAUACUGAUGGAUGGACCCGCGGUGCAUUAGCUAGUUGGUGAGGUAACGGCUCACCAAGGCCACGAGGCAUAGCUGACCUGAGAGGGGGACCGGCAACACUGGGACUGAGACACGGCCCAGACGCCUACGGGAGGCAGCAGUAGGGAAUCUUCGGCAAUGGACGAAAGUCUGACCCAUCAAUGCCGCGUGAAUGAAGAAGGUGUUCGGAUCGUAAAACUCUGUUGUUAGAGAAGCGGUAACUAACGAAGAAGCCACGGCUAACUCCGUGCCAGCAGCCGCGGUAAUAC
This 403-nucleotide ribosomal RNA is filed under the name uncultured bacterium. Its description in RNAcentral is "partial 16S ribosomal RNA". It matches the Rfam family "Bacterial small subunit ribosomal RNA", at positions 28 to 526 of the family's 1533-position model. The record is from RNAcentral.